Molecule: long non-coding RNA, 1644 nt
Organism: Apis cerana (Asiatic honeybee)
Lineage: Eukaryota; Metazoa; Arthropoda; Insecta; Hymenoptera; Apidae
Source: RefSeq, a predicted model, not a curated record
AAAGAAGAAGUAUAAGAUGCAAUUUAAAGAAACUCCAUGAGCGUUGGAACCGAAGGAAUAUCAGCAAGAUGCAAGCAGCCAACGGCAAUUUGGCAAAAGGUGAGACUUCCUAUUGGAAGGAACGUAAAAAAUGGCCAUAAGCGAGGGACGAAGGGGGAGAAAGAGAGAGAGAAAUAGAGGGAGAGACAGAGAAGAAUCUCUUAGUCGAGGAAAAAGUGGGGAGAAGCGUGGGCGGGAAGAAGAGCAGCAAAGAGGAAAGUUCGCUCGAUCUCUCGUGGGAAUGUUACGAUAUUCGAGCAUUGUCGAGGAAGGCCACUCAAACGGUUACGUUGCGAAGAAGGAUCGAUAAGAUCUUGGAAAGAGAUGUCGACUAUAACGCGGUGGAAACGUUAACGGGCACUUGGAAUAUAUCGAUGGCUGGGUGUAUUGUAAACAAGAGGAGGAACGUGGAUACAUUUCGUAUAUGGAGAUGGAUUCAAGUACGAGACACGAGAAAGAAGUAUGAAGAAGAAAAGGAUGACAGAAAAAAUUCGAUUUCCAAUUUCUAUCACGUCAGCUUUAAACAACCAAGCUUCCGUUCGAUUACUUUCUUGCCGUCGUUCUUUUUUUUUUUUUUUUCAAUUUUCCACUUUCGUUCGAAUGCCUUUCUAUCGAAUAUGAAAAACAAUAAAAUAAAGAAAUGAUGGAGCCGCCGAUAUGAAAUAUAAAGAAAAUAUAGAUAUAUUCCACGAUUGGUAUUUGUAAAUUGUUUCUAUAAAAAAACAUAUCUUUCUAAAAUGCUGUAAAAAUUCGUAUUUUACUGGUUUAUUGUUUGCGCCCGUCGAAAUAAAAACUACCAACCGAAACGAGCAUCGCUAAUAAGUUAGAAUACUUUUUAAUUAUAGAUAAGCAAAAUGUGCAUUUGCAUGUGCGCGCAUGCGUUAAUGAAAUUGUAUAUUACUCUCUUAUACUUUCGUAUCAUUUUCCUGUAAAAUUCACGACCAUGAAAUUCACGACUGUGUAACGAGAUGAUCUUUUAUGGAUAACACGAGAUACAAACUUUUUGAAAAAGAAAAAAAAAAUAUAAAAAUGCGUAAGACAAAAUGAAAACAGCAUUUAUUUUGUAUCAUGUCAAUCUCGAAAAGAUGAAAAAGAACAAGCGAAAGAGAAAAAAAAAAGAGAGAAAGAACUUUACGUAGCAAUUGGUCCUGAAUGUCAGUUGCUUACAACAUUGAAUAUACACGCUUCAUAUGACAUUCUCGAGCAUAAAUCUCUCAGGAUGCGUGGUUAAUUGUACAAUCGUGAUAAAUCAAACGAUCAGCGGGAGGUCGUAAUUAUCCGUAUGUGGACAAUGAUAAAUCAAAUGUAAAGACGUAGAAUCAUAAAAUGUAAUAGCUUACGGUUUAUGAAUAUUACGGUAAAACUCUGUAUGCAGUACUGUUUGCUUCUUAUUAAGCUUAACAAAAAUGUCCGCGUAUAAAGAGGUUAGUUUGUAACCGAUUGCUUCUCUAUCAUUUUCGUAAUACGUAUUAAAUCGAAACAUAGUUAUACAAGAGAAUAAUCAAAAUAUUUACAUAUUCGAAUAUAAAAUUAUUCGAAAUAAUAUUUAAUCUAUUAUGACUUAAUGACUUACAUGAAAAAUAUAGCAGAUUGUUGGAAACAUUA